RNAcentral lists this ribosomal RNA (239 nucleotides) under uncultured bacterium. RNAcentral describes it as "partial 16S ribosomal RNA". It matches the Rfam family "Bacterial small subunit ribosomal RNA", at positions 1262 to 1500 of the family's 1533-position model. The record is from RNAcentral.
GCGGAGCAAAUCUCAAAGACCGGUCCCAGUUCGGAUUGUAGGCUGCAACUCGCCUACAUGAAGUCGGAGUUGCUAGUAAUCGCGGAUCAGAAUGCCGCGGUGAAUACGUUCCCGGGCCUUGUACACACCGCCCGUCACACCAUGAGAGUUUGUAACACCCAAAGCCGGUGGGGUAACCUUUUGGAGCCAGCCGUCUAAGGUGGGACAGAUGAUUAGGGUGGAAGUCGUAACAAGGUAGC